RNAcentral lists this ribosomal RNA (500 nucleotides) under uncultured Desulfobulbus sp. RNAcentral describes it as "bacterial SSU rRNA". It matches the Rfam family "Bacterial small subunit ribosomal RNA", at positions 888 to 1383 of the family's 1533-position model. The record is from RNAcentral. Lineage: Bacteria; Pseudomonadati; Thermodesulfobacteriota; Desulfobulbia; Desulfobulbales; Desulfobulbaceae.
CCCGCUCAGAAACUCAAAGGAAUUGACGGGGCUCGCACAAGCGGUGGAGUAUGUGGUUUAAUUCGAUGCAACGCGAAGAACCUUACCUGGUCUUGACAUCCCGGAGACCCUUAGGAAACUAGGGGGUGCUUCCAUCUGGAAGAAUCUGGAGACAGGUGCUGCAUGGCUGUCGUCAGCUCGUGUCGUGAGAUGUUGGGUUAAGUCCCGCAACGAGCGCAACCCUUGCCUUUAGUUGCCAGCAGUUCGGCUGGGCACUCUAAAGGGACUGCCGGUGUUAAACCGGAGGAAGGUGGGGAUGACGUCAAGUCCUCAUGGCCUUUAUGACCAGGGCUACACACGUACUACAAUGGCCGAUACAAAGGGCAGCGACACUGCGAGGUGAAGCCAAUCCCGUAAAAUCGGUCUCAGUCCGGAUUGGAGUCUGCAACUCGACUCCAUGAAGUUGGAAUCGCUAGUAAUCGUGGAUCAGCAUGCCACGGUGAAUACGUUCCCGGGCCUUC